GACGGAGGGUGCAAGCGUUGUUCGGAAUUACUGGGCGUAAAGGGCGCGUAGGCGGUCUGUUAAGUUCGGUGUGAAAGCCCCCGGCUCACCUGGGGAACUGCGCCGGAAACCGACAGACUCGAGUACCGGAGAGGAGGGUGGAAUUCCUGGUGUAGCGGUGAAAUGCGCAGAUAUCAGGAGGAACACCGAUGGCGAAGGCAGGUCUCUGGGCAUUAACUGACGCUGAGGAGCGAAAGCAUGGGGAGCGAACAGG
This 253-nucleotide ribosomal RNA is filed under the name uncultured bacterium. RNAcentral describes it as "partial 16S ribosomal RNA". It matches the Rfam family "Bacterial small subunit ribosomal RNA", at positions 524 to 776 of the family's 1533-position model. The record is from RNAcentral.